Long non-coding RNA from Zophobas morio, 1063 nucleotides. RefSeq lists it as uncharacterized. NCBI's taxonomy places the organism in Eukaryota, Metazoa, Arthropoda, Insecta, Coleoptera, Tenebrionidae. The transcript is spliced from 3 exons. The record is from RefSeq and is a predicted model, not a curated record.
UACGACUGAUAGCGAAACAUAUGCUAAAGUUUUAUCGAUUUCACAAGUGUCAUUGGUGUCAACUUUGGUUAUGUUGUGUUAUUGUUUGAUUUUUCGCGUUUUUCUACUUUUCUGCUCGUGUAAUCGUAUCAGUUCUUUUCAGAACUAUAACAGUUCUUUAUAGAACUCCAAGUUAACUGUCCUGUACCGUGGUACGUGUCGCUUGCUUGAACGUAAACAUUCCACCAUGCCGAAGCCCUUGCACAAAGAUGUAAAGCAAAUGGACGAUAAUUUAGUGGACUAUUUUGCUAAAGAACGCGAUAGCGGGGAACCUCUUUUACCACUAACAGCUGUUCAAGACAGGGUUGCUGCUGCUCUGGGUGUAUGUGUGCGAACAGUGAACUCCGUGGUACAACAAAUAAAAACCGGAGAAGGUGUACAUUCUCCCAAGAAAUAGAGACCCCCGAACAAAGCAAGUGUGUGAUAUUAGCACUUCGGAGCAGUGUGCUAUUCGAGAAUGCUUAUAUGGAAUGGUCGAAGAAAAAAUACAUGUUACACGAUCGCCAUUAAUUGAUUGCUUGAAGGAGAAACAUAUAUUGGAGGGUUCUGUGAGCUCGUUAGGAAAAAUUUUACAUUCUCAAUUGGGUUUCGUUAUUCGCCAACCAGUGUACGGAAGCGUCUUAUGGAAUUACAACAUGUUGUUCAUGCAAGAACCAAAUUCUUACGUGAAUACAUGCACAAUCAGCAGAACCCAAAUUCUUUGCCAUGUGUAUAUCUUGAUGAAACAUGGAUAUUUGAAAAUGGUUCGGUAGUUAGGUCAUUGCAAGACGAUAGUGUCAUAAGUAUCAGGAUGUUCAAAAUAGAAGGGAAAAUUUAGUAAUGUGUCAGUUUCACGUUAGUUAUUUAUUCUUCUCACUAUAUUUUAGGUAUAUUGUAUUACAUGCAGGUACAAGCAAUGGAUUUAUUGAUGAAGCAGCGCUAGUAUUUUCUUCUAAUACCAAAAAUCCAGACUAUCAUGGCGAAAUGAAUCAACAGAAUUUUCUCAAGUGGUUUCAAUUGCUCAUGAACCUUGAAGAACCACCAC